GGAGCUUCUGCAAGCGUUCUGCUACGGGCUAGAGAUCGGCGGGACUUGGAGAUGGCCGAGAACCUCUUCGAAGGCCUUCCACCGCCGAUUUCAGCGACAAACCCUUCGCCGGAGACCCAAUUACCAGAUGCAGCCACCAAGCAGAGUCGGCCCUCUGAUCCUUCUCCCAAUCCCGCCGCUUCUUCUUCUUCUUCUUCUCCG
Molecule: unclassified non-coding RNA, 201 nt
Filed under: Hevea brasiliensis (rubber tree)
Lineage: Eukaryota; Viridiplantae; Streptophyta; Magnoliopsida; Malpighiales; Euphorbiaceae
Source: RNAcentral